This is a long non-coding RNA of Bombyx mori (domestic silkworm), 3532 nucleotides long. RefSeq lists it as uncharacterized. The record is from RefSeq and is a predicted model, not a curated record. The transcript is spliced from 2 exons. Lineage: Eukaryota; Metazoa; Arthropoda; Insecta; Lepidoptera; Bombycidae.
AAAAUAACAAACAUGAGUUUGUACUGUAAAAGUGGGCUUAAUUAUGUCUACGUCUCGUGAAAACCAAAGAACCGACAGACCGGCUUCCGAUCUUAUCACUGAAAACCAUAUCCAAAUUGGCACCGCCAUUGUCAGAGAACUAAUUAUGAUUAGUAUUUUGUGGUAUAACGUAACCCUCAGACACAGCCCACUGAGUUUCUCGCCGGAUCUUCUCAGUGGGUCGCGUUUCCGAUCGGGUGGUAGAUUCUGCGAAGCACGACUCUUGCUAGGGUUGGUCUUAGCAACUUCGUCAGGUUUGAGCCCCGUGAGCUCACCUACUAGUUAAGGCUACGCUGAUAUAGCCUCUCAAGGCUCUCAGCUUAGGUAGAAAAAAAAAAGGUGGUUUAACGAAAAUUUAAUAAAUCAUACCCACGCGACUCUCAGGAAUUGAGGAAAAUAAUAACAUCGUCUCCAUUCUAGCAUUAGAUUAGUAUCCAUUGUAUCCAUGUUUCAAAGUGAUCUUAAACGAUUUUGGUCAAUAUUUGUGUGCCACGUAAUGACUAUUCGUUCCGUUUUGAACAGUAGGCUUAAAAUUUUUAGUAUUUUUGAAUGAAUGAAAGAAUUCACAUCCCGUCUGCUGUUAAUUCCGCGAUUUACUUCGAGACAUGAGGUAGAAGCCUCAAGUGUGGUAUGGGCAGUAUAGUAUAGCCAGUAUAGUAUAGGUAGUAUGAAUAUAAUAUAUAUACAUCAAAAUAACACCAAAACUGGAGCAUUAAAUGCUUCGCGUUAGAAAUAGUCAGGACGAUGAGAUACCAAUCCUAGCGGACGUACAAUACGUUUGCCACCAUUAAUUACGUAAAUUUAUAAAUUUUGCGAAACUGAAUUUUAUUAAACGAAGCUUUUUCUUCUUCGACAUACAAUAUGUAUUUUGUGAACGCGUGUCAAGUCGUAUUAGACUUCGAUUUACUUAAACAAAUUGGUGACGUCAUAGUCGCAUAGCUUAGUACGGGCGUACCUUACAUCUUAUAAAAUAUUCGCUUUCGUCAUUUUACUGUGUAUAGGAUGAGGAUCAGAUAAACUCUCCUGUUUAUCAUGGCGGUAAAUAUAAAAGUAGCUUCACAUAAACUAAGUAUUACAGAAAGAGCAACGCUCGAAAACCGUAAUUAAAAGAAAGUGCCACAACGCGGUACGGCUAAUUAAAUGUAAAUGAAAAUGAACUUAAGCGUCGAGAUGCACUUCUUGUAGACGUCUCGGAAAAUGCUAGAAAUUUCAAAAAUCAUUUCAAAGUAUUACAUACUUCAUUCUUUUUUAUUUAUUAUAUUCCUGUUUGGACAAAAUGUCACUAUGAACUGAAAAUGCAAUUGUCAAACGUAGUCAUUAUGUUCUUCAAUAAUCCCGUUUUUGUCAAACCAUCACAAAAAUGCUCUAAAUUUUUUUGUUGAUCAUUAUUUCAAAUCAUUGAGACGAAUAACUAUGACCAGUUUGAACGAACAAAUCGAACACCCUUCAUUUUUCUGGAAUUGCCUCGCCCUCCAAGACGAUUGUCCAUUCUAUUCAUCGAUAGAUCCAAAACUUUAUUACUUCGCUGUGGGACUGACUUGCAUAUACGCCGCAUUUUUCGUAAUAAUCCUGGCUGACCUUCAAUUUUAUUGGUCGCUUGAUGGCUUACAACAAAAAAUUGAUUACUAUUCAAAUUUAGUGCGAAAAAAAGUUAGACGCGUGCAAAUGAACCAGCAGAGAUUAGUAUCUACACAGGAAAGAACUGAAAAGCAACUGAAAAGAAGUCGCCAAAGUACGGGAAUUAUCACCGGAUUAAGAGGAACUUUGUCGAUGGAUGAGACUCCGACACAUUCUUUGCUGGCCAUUUGUGAAAAUGAAACUACGAAAUAUCCAACAUAUUGUAGCAGCCAACAUGCCAUUGAAUUUUAGAACGUUCAAUCCAUUGUUAUAACUAGACGACGCUUUACGAGGAAAAUAAAUAAAUUUAACAAUAAAACGUUGUGCGAAUGUCGCCAGCAAUAUUUCGAACUUCGACGUGUAUUUGGAACAGAGGCGAACGCUUCAAAAGCAUUACGAAUGCCUUUUAUAUUUCAUCUUUUACACUUCGCCAGGCGUGAAACUGUAUUUGAAGACAAACGUCUUUAUACCAUUUACGAUAUCUUAGACACGUAGAAAUGUUAACCUAGUUAAAUUUCCGUGCCAAAUGUUUUUGACAUCUUAAUUCAUACCAUAUUUAAUACACUAACUAAUAUGUAAAUAUCGUAUAUCUUUAAACGAGCAAUUUUUGUAUAUAAAUAUAUUUCAUACAUAAUCUGAAUCUCGGAAACGGCUCCAACGAUUUUCAGAAAAUUUAGUAUACGGGGGUUUUUGGGGGCGAUAAAUCGAUCUAGCUACGAUUUAAUUUCAGAAAAUGUUGUUUUAUUCGUGUUUUCAAUAAUCAACUUUAUCGAUAUUUUUAAUUUUUUCUUUAAAUAACCAGUUUCAUAUUUUUUUAUUAUUCUGUCGGUAAGAUCGAAAAAUAUUAUUCAUAUUUCAUCAUUUUAUCAAUAUGUAAUUCGAAUUAAACUAUAAUUUCUAAAAAACACAAUUUAUCAAGGAAGGUGGGGAAGGAAAGUCCUCGAAUGGAGGCCACGGAUGGGUACCAGGAGCGUGGGGCGUCCUCCAACCAGGUGGACUGACGACUUAGUGCGCACGGCGGGAAGUCGUUGGACGCGGAAGGCGGAGGAUCGCAUUAUGUGGAAGGCAUUGGGGAAGGCCUAUGUCCAGCAGUGGGCAGAUAAAAGCUGAUGAUGAUAAUGAUGAUGAUGACAAUUUAUCAAAAAAAAUACCGAGCAAAGCUCGGUCAUUAUCUAGUAGCACAUAAAUGAUUUUGAGAAAAAAACAAAACACAUUUUAAAGUCAACUUAUUUUUCAUUUAUUCAAUUUCAAAGUCGCAAUGUUCCAAGUAUCUCGUUCUCGGAAAAGUAUGGCUCGAGUUUAACGAAUUCGGCGACAGGAAGAUGCCCCGCUUAAAGUUAAGCAAUUAAGAAGAAGCUAAGCGGCGAGAUUGCGCAUCGAAACUUCUUGUUUUCCUCAACCGAAAACUAUCUUCAUUACAUCUGUGUAUCUACCGUCUAAUGCAUGGACAAUGUUUGCGACCGCACCGACUCCGUAAACAUGUAUACGGGUACAGCACCCGAAUUUGGUUAAAGAUAGUGAAACAGUUGGCCGUACUCCAGCCGCCUUUGCUGAAGCUCUAAAAUUGUAUUAUCCAAUUCUAAACCAGAAAAACAAUGUACUGUGUGCAUAUGAAUGCGCUGCCUAAAUUCAAGCGACACUGCGGUGGGCUGAAUAUUUUACUUUAUAUACAGAUACGCUAAAAUACAUACAAUUCGUAUCACGAUGGUUUUGACUCAGUGAAAAGUGGUAAAUGUUGUUGGAGCAUAUUGUGAGACUCCAACCGCAUACCUGAAAGCAUUGAUUCUGCGGUGUCUAUGGAUAAGAGUAACCAUUUAACUAUGACCUCACAUUCGAUCUCCUGUAAAGAAUAAAGGUUUAAAAAAAAGCAAUAAAA